UAGGGGGCAAGCGUUAUCCGGAUUUACUGGGUGUAAAGGGAGCGUAGACGGUAGUGCAAGUCUGAAGUGAAAGGCGGGGGCCCAACCCCCGGACUGCUUUGGAAACUGUGCAGCUGGAGUGCAGGAGAGGUAAGUGGAAUUCCUAGUGUAGCGGUGAAAUGUGUAGAUAUUAGGAGGAACACCAGUGGCGAAGGCGGCUUACUGGACUGUAACUGACGUUGAGGCUCGAAAGCGUGGGGAGCAAA
RNAcentral lists this ribosomal RNA (245 nucleotides) under uncultured bacterium. RNAcentral's name for it is "partial 16S ribosomal RNA". It matches the Rfam family "Bacterial small subunit ribosomal RNA", at positions 528 to 772 of the family's 1533-position model. The record is from RNAcentral.